GAUGAACGCUGGCGGCGUGCUUAACACAUGCAAGUCGAACGAUGAACCGGGUGCUUGCACUCGGGGAUUAGUGGCGAACGGGUGAGUAACACGUGAGCAACCUGCCCCUGACUCUGGGAUCAGCGCUGGAAACGGCGUCUAAUACUGGAUAUGUCCCGUCACCGCAUGGUGUGCGGGUGGGAAGAUUUUUCGGUUGGGGAUGGGCUCGCGGCCUAUCAGCUUGUUGGUGAGGUAAUGGCUCACCAAGGCGUCGACGGGUAGCCGGCCUGAGAGGGUGACCGGCCACACUGGGACUGAGACACGGCCCAGACUCCUACGGGAGGCAGCAGUGGGGAAUAUUGCACAAUGGGCGGAAGCCUGAUGCAGCAACGCCGCGUGAGGGAUGACGGCCUUCGGGUUGUAAACCUCUUUUAGCAGGGAAGAAGCGAGAGUGACGGUACCUGCAGAAAAAGCACCGGCUAACUACGUGCCAGCCGCCGCCGUAA
RNAcentral lists this ribosomal RNA (485 nucleotides) under uncultured bacterium. RNAcentral's name for it is "partial 16S ribosomal RNA". It matches the Rfam family "Bacterial small subunit ribosomal RNA", at positions 28 to 523 of the family's 1533-position model. The record is from RNAcentral.